GACGAACGCUGGCGGCGUGCCUAAUACAUGCAAGUCGAACGCAAAACUUUCACCGAAUGCUUGCAUUCACGAAAGUUUUGAGUGGCGAACGGGUGAGUAACACGUGGGUAACCUGCCCAGAAGAGGGGGAUAACACUUGGAAACAGGUGCUAAUACCGCAUAAUAACAAAAACCGCAUGGUUUUUGUUUGAAAGAUGGUUUUGCUAUCACUUCUGGAUGGACCCGCGGCGUAUUAGCUAGUUGGUAAGGUAAAGGCUUACCAAGGCAAUGAUACGUAGCCGAACUGAGAGGUUGAGCGGCCACAUGGGGACUGAGCCACGGCCCAAACUCCAACGGGAGGCAGCAGUAGGGAAUCUUCCACAAUGGACGAAAGUCUGAUGGAGCAACGCCGCGUGAGUGAAGAAGGUUUUCGGAUCGUAAAACUCUGUUGUUAGAGAAGAACGUGUGUGAGAGUAACUGCUCAUGCAGUGACGGUAUCUAACCAGAAAGCCACGGCUAACUAUGUGCCAGCCGCCGCAGUAA
This 522-nucleotide ribosomal RNA is filed under the name uncultured bacterium. RNAcentral's name for it is "partial 16S ribosomal RNA". It matches the Rfam family "Bacterial small subunit ribosomal RNA", at positions 28 to 523 of the family's 1533-position model. The record is from RNAcentral.